AAUGAACGUUGGCGGCGUGGAUUAGGCAUGCAAGUCGUGCGACGAACUGUAGCAAUACAGGGAAAGCGGCGUAAGGGAGAGUAAUACGUAGGUAUCUACCCAUGGGUCUGGGAUAGCGGCGGGAAACUGCCGGUAAUACCAGAUAACGUCUCCGGACCAAAGGUGUGAUUUCCACCUGUGGAGGAGCCUACGGCCUAUUAGCUAGUUGGCAGGGUAACGGCCUACCAAGGCUUGGAUGGGUACGGGGNGUGAGAGCAUGCCCCCGCUCACUGGGACUGAGACACUGCCCAGACACCUACGGGUGGCUGCAGUCGAGAAUCUUCGGCAAUGG
Molecule: ribosomal RNA, 331 nt
Filed under: uncultured bacterium
Lineage: Bacteria
Description: bacterial SSU rRNA
Rfam family: Bacterial small subunit ribosomal RNA
Source: RNAcentral